CAGGCUCCGAGCUGAGUCUCCGUGAUUGGACAAUACUGGCUCAAUUCCACCAAUCAUAUCGCCCACACCGUGACGGUGGGCCGUCCCUGAAACCCGCGUCCUACAGGCUUGUUAGUGAGCGUAGACGACCGCUUUGCGUGUUGAUUGGACAAACUGAACGUCCAUCAGGGUCACGCAGAAGGGCAAUGAGAGGCGCGACGACAGGAAGACGACUUUCCUCUGAGGGCAAUCGAAGCCUACAGGGAUACUCCAGGAUGACAGGAUCGGCGCUGGGCGGGGCUUCUGCCGCCCGCGGCACGCCGGGAAGGAGUCUCUUCCCGACACAGGUUCCGGUUCCGUUGGCGGCGGCUGAUUGCUACGGUAACGCGGCGGGUAGUCUUGCUAUAGCGAGGACCAGAGAAGUGGUGGGUGGGCCUCCGCGUCUCGGCAGCUGAGGUGAGCCGCGAACCUGGCGCGUCCAGCCCUGUCCGGGGCUGCAGCCUCGAACUCGGCCUCAUGUCCAGUCCUGCCUGGGGGGCUCCUGCCUCGGACCCGUCGUGCACGUGGACGGCCAAGCCGGGUCCUGCCUCGCGUGGGAUUCCUUCUCCAGAAUUUUUAGCAUGAAAUAGAAUUAUGUGUAUGUAUGAUGUGCGUGCAUGCCCCUGCCACAGCGUGGGAGUGGAAGUCAGACGACAAUUUUGUGUAGUCAGGUCCCUCCUCCCGCCUUUUACAAGGGGUCCAGGGAUAGAACUGGGCUUGCCGGGACAUGGAUCCUGAUUCUGGCCAGCAGGACUCGGUGGCGUGCUACCUGAUCUGUAGUCUUGGACCUGCACUGGGUUGAUGGUACCCGAGAGCACACCAGACUUGCAGAAAAAGCAUACUCCAGAGGAAGCUGAGGCAUGCCUGCUCAAGAGCCAGCGGUUCCAUGUGCAAUGUUCCUCUGAUAGGUCCUGGGUACUGUUGCCACGGUGAUGAUGGCUCUGCCAUGCCAUUGUCGAUCCACCAACAGUCAGAGAAGCUUUGCAGUCAAGAUAUUGUUUAGCAGACGGAGUGGUUUCUGUUGGACACUUAAGUACUGCUACACAACCUCAAGUUACUAAGAAUGUUGCUGGAGGUGACCUGUUUUCGUCUGGGGAGUAAAUGUAAAAGCAGAAAGUGCACACAAGUCAUCAGUGGAGUCUACUAAAUCAUGGCUCAGCGGGAAACCUGAGCCAAGUAAACUGUGAAGACAGAUGGGGACAUUGCCCUGCCUCUUCCUUGUCAGUCAGUGUUGUGGAUGCUUGCUCUUUUUUCUAAUGACAAGCCUGAAGUUCAAAUCUUUUUAUUUUGCAGACCCUUUGAUCCCAGACACCAUACAAAGACAUACACAAGAAAUACUGGAAUGAAACCGCUGCUAUGAAAGUCAGUCUGUACCCUCAGCAGCAGCAGAGAAUCUGUUGAAUUGCCUCCAGAAACGGCAUGCCAUUUGUAAUUUUACUUUUAAAAAUGAAAUAAAUAAAGACUGACAAUUUGCUUGUAGGAA
Peromyscus californicus insignis is the source of this 1501-nucleotide long non-coding RNA. RefSeq lists it as uncharacterized. NCBI's taxonomy places the organism in Eukaryota, Metazoa, Chordata, Mammalia, Rodentia, Cricetidae. The transcript is spliced from 2 exons. The record is from RefSeq and is a predicted model, not a curated record.